Molecule: ribosomal RNA, 497 nt
Filed under: uncultured bacterium
Lineage: Bacteria
Description: partial 16S ribosomal RNA
Rfam family: Bacterial small subunit ribosomal RNA
Source: RNAcentral
GACGAACGCUGGCGGCGUGCCUAAUACAUGCAAGUUGAGCGAUGAAGAUUGGUGCUUGCUCCAAUUUGAAGAGCAGCGAACGGGUGAGUAACGCGUGGGGAAUCUGCCUUUGAGCGGGGGACAACAUUUGGAAACGAAUGCUAAUACCGCAUAACAACUUUAAACAUAAGUUUUAAGUUUGAAAGAUGCAAUUGCAUCACUCAAAGAUGAUCCCGCGUUGUAUUAGCUAGUUGGUGAGGUAAAGGCUCACCAAGGCGAUGAUACAUAGCCGACCUGAGAGGGUGAUCGGCCACAUUGGGACUGAGACACGGCCCAAACUCCUACGGGAGGCAGCAGUAGGGAAUCUUCGGCAAUGGACGAAAGGCUGACCGAGCAACGCCGCGUGAGUGAAGAAGGUUUUCGGAUCGUAAAACUCUGUUGGUAGAGAAGAACGUUGGUGAGAGUGGAAAGCUCAUAAAGUGACGGUAACUACCCAGAAAGGGACGGCUAACUACGUG